CCUACGGGAGGCAGCAGUGGGGAAUAUUGGACAAUGGGGGGAACCCUGAUCCAGCCAUGCCGCGUGUGUGAAGAAGGCCCUCGGGUUGUAAAGCACUUUCAGUGAGGAAGAACGCCUGGUGGUUAAUACCCAUCAGGAAAGACAUCACUCACAGAAGAAGCACCGGCUAACUCCGUGCCAGCAGCCGCGGUAAUACGGAGGGUGCGAGCGUUAAUCGGAAUUACUGGGCGUAAAGCGCGCGUAGGUGGCUUGAUAAGCCGGUUGUGAAAGCCCCGGGCUCAACCUGGGAACGGCAUCCGGAACUGUCAAGCUAGAGUGCAGGAGAGGAAGGUAGAAUUCCCGGUGUAGCGGUGAAAUGCGUAGAGAUCGGGAGGAAUACCAGUGGCGAAGGCGACCUUCUGGACUGACACUGACACUGAGGUGCGAAAGCGUGGGUAGCAAACAGGAUUAGAUACCCUAGUAGUC
RNAcentral lists this ribosomal RNA (465 nucleotides) under Vreelandella stevensii. RNAcentral's name for it is "partial 16S ribosomal RNA". It matches the Rfam family "Bacterial small subunit ribosomal RNA", at positions 338 to 795 of the family's 1533-position model. The record is from RNAcentral. Lineage: Bacteria; Pseudomonadati; Pseudomonadota; Gammaproteobacteria; Oceanospirillales; Halomonadaceae.